Octopus bimaculoides (California two-spot octopus) is the source of this 2101-nucleotide long non-coding RNA. RefSeq lists it as uncharacterized. Lineage: Eukaryota; Metazoa; Mollusca; Cephalopoda; Octopoda; Octopodidae. The record is from RefSeq and is a predicted model, not a curated record.
AGUUUUGAUAGUAAAUGCAGUUGAAUGACUAAUGUUUAUUUAUUCUUACUGAAAGAAAUAACCAGAAGACAAGACAUUCAUAUUUAAGUGACAGGUAGGAUUAAGAAAGAUGUUGGUUUGUAUUUAGGCAAGAAACAACAGCUGUUAGUUUGUAGGAGGGUGUAUUGACCAACCUGCUCAUAGGUUGCCAGAUCAAAUCCACUUCAGGUACUUUGUUAUACUUCUCCUGGGCAGAAGAGUACUGUCAACAUCAGCUCAAUUAAUUUAGUUUUCUACAGAAGUGUGUGGGGAAUAGGAAUGAGGUCAUCUGGAAAUGUGAUGCGACUUGCAGUAAGCCAGGCCUCCUAUUCAAGGGAUGAUUAAUUUUUUAUCCACCUAUGAAACCCUAGAGGAUGAAAAUGUUGGCCUUGGCAUAAUUUUAACUCAGAACACAGAGACAGAAAACACUCUAAUGAUGUUUACAGACAGAGAAAUGUACAGACAAAGACAGAGAGGUACACAUUCAAUGAAACAGAAAGUAAGAGAGAGAGAGAGGUGGGAGCGACACAAGGAAAGUAACAGAGACAUAGACACUGAAACCAAGCAAUAAAACACCAGGAAAUAGAAAACUUGUUUUUUUAGCCAAUGAAUUCGGUGCAACGGGAUUUCCUGAAUGUAUUUAUUUUUUAUCUGAAAUAUUAGCAAGGCACACCUAGCAUUAUAGGAUAAUUUACAAAUAGAUAAAAGGAUCUGCAACUAAGAGGAAAUCAAGUUUAAAACAAACACUUCCUCUGUUACUUGUCGGUUCAAAUCCCACUCAUGUCAACUUAGCCUUUCAUCCUUCCAGGGUUAAUAUAAUAAAUUCCAGUCAAGUACAGAGGUUGUAUUAUAAAAUACCCCCUUCCUCAAAAUGUAUGAUCUUGUACCUAAAUUAGAAAUUAUAAUAUUAUUGUUGUUGUAAAGGCGGCAAGCUGGUAAAAUCAUUAGUACACUAGACAAAAUGCUUCAUGGCAUUUUGUCUUUACAUUCCGAGUUCAAAUCCUGCCAAGGUUGACUUUGCCUUUCAUCCUUUUGGGUUUGAUACAAUUAGUACCAGUGGACUACUGGAGCCAAUGUAAUUGACUUAACCCCUCUUCUCAAGGAUUAUUAUUAUCAUUAAGGUAGCAAGCUGACAAAAAUCAUUAGUGCUUAACUGUAUUUCUUCCAUUUCUUUACGUUUUGAGCUCAAAUCCUGCCAAGGUCAGCUUCGCCUUUCAUUCUUUUGGGGUCAAUUAAAUAAAGUGCCAGUCAAGCACUAGGGUCAAUGAAACUGAUUAAUCCCCUCCUAAAAAUUGCUGGUCUUGUUUCAAAAUUUGAAACCAUUAUUAAUUAUUAUCAUCAAAUUUUUUUUCAGGUAGUAGAUUGGCAGAAUUGUUGGAGCUAAGGGCAGAUAGUUAUAACCCUUUAUACUCUGAAAGCAAAUCUUGUUGAGGUUAACAAAGUUUUAUAUCCUUCUAUACAUUAGACACAGAUUUCACGAAGUGGGUACAGACACAACUGUCUUCACAUGAGGUACUUCAAAUUAUUCCACUAAACACGACAUUCCAAUAAGUACAAGAUCUCAAUGACUUCCUCCAGCUUCCACGAAAUCUCAACGACUCCUAUGACUUCGAUGAACUCUCAACAAUUCCUAUGGCUUCCAUGAACUCUCAACCAAUAUGCUAUUCUUUGUAAGAGUUUGGCUAGUCCAUUCUUCCACUCGCACAGGGGUGUCAAUAACUCUUGCCACAAUAUUUCUCUCUUUGAGAUUUACUCCCUAGGGAAGUUUAAUAUCUCUUCCGUUUAGGCAUUACUUUCAACCAUUCUGUUUGUUUCCUCUUUCUUGUGCUGCUACGCCUGGGUUCAUGACACUGGAACAUCAAAGGUGUCAUAGAGCACUUCCAUCAUCAUCAUCAUCAUCAUCGUUUAACGUCCGCCUUCCAUGCUAGCAUGGGUUGGACGAUUUGACUGAGGACUGGUGAAACCGGAUGGCAACACCAGGCUCCAAUCUAAUUUGGCAGAGUUUCUACAGCUGGAUGCCCUUCCUAACGCCAACCACUCAGAGAAUGUAGUGGGUGCUUUUACGUGUCACCCGCACGAAAAC